AGAGUUUGAUCCUGGCUUAGAACUAACGCUGGCAGUGCGUCUUAAGCAUGCAAGUCAAACGGGAUGUAGCAAUACAUUCAGUGGCGAACGGGUGAGUAACGCGUGGAUGAUCUACCUAUGAGAUGGGGAUAACUAUUAGAAAUAGUAGCUAAUACCGAAUAAGGUCAGUUAAUUUGUUAAUUGAUGAAAGGAAGCCUUUAAAGCUUCGCUUGUAGAUGAGUCUGCGUCUUAUUAGCUAGUUGGUAGGGUAAAUGCCUACCAAGGCAAUGAUAAGUAACCGGCCUGAGAGGGUGAACGGUCACACUGGAACUGAGAUACGGUCCAGACUCCUACGGGAGGCAGCAGCUAAGAAUCUUCCGCAAUGGGCGAAAGCCUGACGGAGCGACACUGCGUGAAUGAAGAAGGUCGAAAGAUUGUAAAAUUCUUUUAUAAAUGAGGAAUAAGCUUUGUAGGAAAUGACAAAGUGAUGACGUUAAUUUAUGAAUAAGCCCCGGCUAAUUACGUGCCAGCAGCCGCGGUAAUACGUAAGGGGCGAGCGUUGUUCGGGAUUAUUG
This 554-nucleotide ribosomal RNA is filed under the name Borreliella burgdorferi (Lyme disease spirochete). RNAcentral's name for it is "bacterial SSU rRNA". It matches the Rfam family "Bacterial small subunit ribosomal RNA", at positions 8 to 556 of the family's 1533-position model. Lineage: Bacteria; Pseudomonadati; Spirochaetota; Spirochaetia; Spirochaetales; Borreliaceae. The record is from RNAcentral.